UGACCUGCGGAAGGAUCAUUAAAGAAUCGCCCCGUUUUUUGAAAUGGGUUCUAUUCCCAAACCGUGUAUACAUACCUUUGUUGCUUUGGCAGGCCGCCUUUUAGGCGUCGGCGUCGGCUGACUGCGCCUGCCAGAGGACCCAAACUCGUUUGUUUAGUGAUGUCUGAGUACUAUAUAAUAGUUAAAACUUUCAACAACGGAUCUCUUGGUUCUGGCAUCGAUGAAGAACGCAGCGAAAUGCGAUAAGUAAUGUGAAUUGCAGAAUUCAGUGAAUCAUCGAAUCUUUGAACGCACAUUGCGCCCCUUGGUAUUCCGAGGGGCAUGCCUGUUCGAGCGUCAUUAUAACCACUCAAGCCUCGGCUUGGUCUUGGGGUUCGCGGUUCCGCGGCUCUUAAAAUCAGUGGCGGUGCCGUCUGGCUCUAAGCGUAGUAAUUCUCUCGCUAUAGGGUCCCGGCGGUUACCUGUCAAAACCCCCCCAUUUUUUACGGUUGACCUCGGAUCAGGUAGGGAUACCCGCUGAACUUAAGCAUAUCAAUAAGCGGAGGAAAAGAAACCAACAGGGAUUGCCUCAGUAACGGCGAGUGAAGCGGCAACAGCUCAAUUUGAAAUCUGGCUCUUUCAGGGUCCGAGUUGUAAUUUGUAGAAGAUGCUUUGAGUGUGGCUCCGGUCUAAGUUCCUUGGAACAGGACGUCAUAGAGGGUGAGAAUCCCGUACGUGACUGGGUGCCUUCGCUCGUGUAAAGCUCUUUCGACGAGUCGAGUUGUUUGGGAAUGCAGCUCAAAA
RNAcentral lists this ribosomal RNA (783 nucleotides) under fungal endophyte. Its description in RNAcentral is "eukaryotic LSU rRNA". The stretch from base 490 to 783 matches the Rfam family "Eukaryotic large subunit ribosomal RNA", at positions 1 to 292 of the family's 3401-position model. The record is from RNAcentral. Lineage: Eukaryota; Fungi.